This is a non-coding RNA of Aegilops tauschii subsp. strangulata, 761 nucleotides long. The record is from RefSeq and is a predicted model, not a curated record. Lineage: Eukaryota; Viridiplantae; Streptophyta; Magnoliopsida; Poales; Poaceae.
GCUCAGUAGAAUCCCACCUGAGAAGCUUUACCUGCUCCAAGGAUGUCCUCACCGAGCUCGGACUCAGAGUGGAGCAAGAAGGAGAACAAGAUGUUCGAGGAGGCGCUCGCCUACUACGGCGUGGGCGCCCCCAACCUCUGGGAGAAGGUGGCCAGCGCCAUGGGGGGCACCAAGUCCGCCGAGGAGGUGCGCCGCCACUUCCAGUUCCUCGUUGACGACGUCAAGAACAUCGAGCACGGACGCAUCCCCUUCCCCAAGUACAAGACCCAGGGCUUCUGGACCUAAAAGGAUGAAGCAGUGUAAACUCCAGUGGACAGUGAAAAAAGUUGUACAAACUAGAUCUCUAGAAUGGACUGAUGUUCUAGCAGGAAGCAAGGGAAUCAUUGGUUAGAAUAAUAGGAAGGAAUGGAGUAUUGUCUAUUGUGUGUACAAAAUAUUCUUAGGUUAUGUCCAAGGUCAAGUCUGUCUCUAUGUUGUACAAACUAGAUCUCUUAAGAGUGGACUGGUGUUCUAGGGAGAUGCAAGGCAAUUCAGCUUUGGUUCGAAUAGCAGGAAGAAAAGGAGUUGUAUAUUGUGUGUACAAAGUAUUAUUAGGUUAUGUCCAAGGUUAAGUCUCUGUUACUGUAGAUUAUCAUCUAGAUUCAAGAACUGCAUGUUGUUCAGUAUCCCCUCGAACCAAGUCGUCAAGUAAACCAUCAUGUAAACGCAUGUAUUUGUGUUAUUUGUAAGAGGUCGUACCUGUAGCAUUUUGUCGCCCCCGA